CAAGACCCCCUUUGUAUAGAAUAUCAGCUUUGGUGCUGAUGUUGGGAAAUAGGUCCUCCUUCUUGA
This 66-nucleotide transfer RNA is filed under the name Mus terricolor (Earth-colored mouse). RNAcentral's name for it is "tRNA-Pro". The record is from RNAcentral. Lineage: Eukaryota; Metazoa; Chordata; Mammalia; Rodentia; Muridae.